AAGAAGAUAUAUAGAUAUAAUAUAUAUAUAUAUAUAUUAUAUAUACCCAGCUUGGAGAAUUGACGGAAGGACCAUCCCAUCCAAUAUGAGCAACAUGUUUCACAUCUGUUGGAAACCCAAUCUGCAUUUCAGGUUCUUUCUCAUUAUCUGCAUCCAAGUAUUAAAUCUUAAGUUUAAUUUUAAUUUUAGUUUUAGUUUUGUUAUAGAAAGAAAAAAGGGUUGUUGUUGGGUAUGUAUGAUUUAGCAUACCAAAUAUUUGAGAAAUGUAUCUGAGGCCUUUCAGAAGGCCUUUCAUUUUAUUAUUAGACAUUUUUUUCUCCCUUCUGGAUUGAAAAAUGAAGUAAUUGUGAGAUUUUGUUGAACUUUGCUUUUGGGGAAGAAGAUUGUGUUGGAAUUCAAAUCCAAGCUUUGAGGAGAGGUUCAAAACUGAGCCAAAAAAAAAGAAAAAACUUCAUUAAUUAGGUAUAAAUAUAUAUAUAUAUUAAAAGAAAAGGAAAAAGAAAAAUAUUACCUUUUAAAAUGAAACCCUAAAUGGAGGGGGAAAAGAGGGAAAAGAAGGUGGAAAGAAGCCAUAGAGAAAAAUCAAAAGAACAUUAGGAGAGAAAUGGUUUGAGAAGAAGAAGAAGAAGAAGAAGAAGAAAGGGAAAGAAGGAAGAGGUUCAAAGAAAGAAAAAUUAAUGACCGAACAAAUGCUAAUUAAUUAUAAUUAACAAAACAAAAAAUAUUAAUUAAACUCUUCAAAAAAAAAAAAAAAAAGAAGAAGAAAAAGAAGAAGAAGAAGAAUCGUUGAUUUCGUUGAUUUUGGUGGCUUUCAAUUUGUUUGUUGCAUUUUCUUUUCUCUGCUCAUCCACUUUUGGCCACAAAUGGUAUCGAAAUUUUAGCUCUCAAAUUAUGGGAAUUUCUUGUUUCUUCUUUGCUUUUUGUUGAAAAAUAAAUUUGUACUCAUAAAAACUAAAAUUAGGAAUUUUUUUGACAGGUCUUCCACUUCUGUCAAAAGUUGUUCAUAGAUUUUUUAUUUUAUUUUAUAAAAUAAUUGUGUUUAAUGUUUGUAGACUAUCUUUGAAGGUAGAAAUUUGUUGGACGAAAUUUAGGAAUUAGAAUAGCAUGGUGAUGCCACGUAUGAGAAUGUUGGGACGUGAUCAUGUUCGUUCAAGGUCACCAUGAUUUCCAUAAUGGAUUUUUUCCUCAAAUCCAUUUUAAAUCACUUUGACUUCAUUUCAAUUUUCACCUUCCACUGUUUUCUUUGCUACAUGACUUGUGAGUGUUUCUUAUAAGGUAAAUGAAUAUUUUACAGUAACUUUAUUUCCUUUCUUGAAUAUAUAAUCCACCAAAACAUCAUCAAACACCCUCUAUAUCUCCCUGUGCAUUCUGUGUCAUUUUUUUCAUACAACCAUACUUUGGUGUUCAUUUUUGUCUCUUCCCCCAAUUUCCAAUUUUAUGAAGAGGUUGAUUUAUUUUAAUAAAUCAAGUCAAAUGUUAAUGCCUUUCAUAUGAAUAUCCUACAAGACAGGUUUUCAGCAUUCUUAUGAUCCUUAAUACAAAAUCUUGAUUACAUAUGUGCAGUAUGCUAUUUUCCUUAGCUUCUAGUAACACAUAAAAUUUCAUUAACCAAACUGUAAAAUUUAUAAUAUACAUUCGUUUCUUUUUGUCUAAAUAAAUCUAUUGCCUUUCAUGGUAAGAUAAAUCAUACAAGUGUGCAUUUCUUUUUGUCUAAAUAAAUCCAUUUCCUUUCAUGGUAAGAUAAAUCAUACAAGUGUGCAUCCUUAAACUUCAUGUUUACAUAACAUGACGCAUGGAACAAUUGUAAAUAUAAGAUUCAAAUCUAAAAUAUUAACUAAUACAGAGGAAAAAAAUUGAACUCAUAGCAAUCACCCGCAAAACAAAACUGGAAAGGUACAACAUAUUAAUGAAUACCUUUAUAUUUAAUAUUUCUCAAAGUGUAGCAAUUUUUUAUAAUGAAUCUACAAUAAACAAUAUGAAAUUUAAUUUGAAGAUAAAGAUGUAGGAAUUCAAAUCAUGGAAAAUCAAUGGGGGAUUUUUCAAUUGAAAAUCUCAAGAAAGGUCUGUUUCCCAAUAUUACAUAGGUUUUUCCAACCCUAUAAAAUUGAGAGAGAAAACAACAACAACAAUAAUAAUAUAAUAAACAAAAAAAGAAAAAAAGAAAAAGAGAGAAACAUUUAAGGAAUAGAAAUUUUAAGGGAUUGAAAAUCUUGUUUUCCAGCCAAGUGGGUGCAAAACAGAGAUUUUUUGUUGAUGAAUAAUAUUUAUAAAAGCACACUACUAAUAAACUAUAAAAACGACCGAUGGAUGGGUCUUUAAAAUAGGAAGAAGAGCAUGAAAGGAAAUACAGUUAUUAUUACAGCUACUUGAGUCACACAAGUAGAAUUGUUUAGUGUGAAUCUCUGCAUCUCGAGCGGCAUCAAUAAACAUAGAUGACGACCGCAAACGCUUCUGAGGGGAAAGGUUGCAAAGACAAUCCUGGAUUUUCUUUUCUUUCUUUCUUUCUUUCUUUCUUCUUUCUUUUUUUUUUUUUUUUUUUUUUUUUCCAUUUAAGAUUGUGUCAACUGACCUGUAAUAUUUGUUUGCAGUCGGGUUGGGGGAUGUCCCAUGUACAAGAGAGAAUUAAGAUGCAAAUAAUCGCAGAUGGGAGGGCUUUAUCCCUCUGAUGCGUAUGCCAAAUACCCUAAUGAGAAAAACCUUCUUGUUAUUAGUUUUUACUUCCUGAUUGAUAGAAGUU
This 2737-nucleotide long non-coding RNA is filed under the name Cucumis sativus (cucumber). RNAcentral describes it as "long non-coding RNA (CSAT_LNC001067)". The record is from RNAcentral. Lineage: Eukaryota; Viridiplantae; Streptophyta; Magnoliopsida; Cucurbitales; Cucurbitaceae.